Molecule: long non-coding RNA, 745 nt
Filed under: Apteryx owenii (little spotted kiwi)
Lineage: Eukaryota; Metazoa; Chordata; Aves; Apterygiformes; Apterygidae
Description: lncRNA (ENSAOWG00000014455.1)
Source: RNAcentral
AAAAUUAGAGCUGCUGUAUGCAAAGCAAUGUCGUGCUGAGAGCCCAAGCAGCAGUCAGCCCUGCCUGUCCCUGAAUUGCCUCCAGUGCAUACUCGCAAAAAUGACCAGGGAGACGGCUCCCGGUCAGAGCAUCCCCUCGGAGCUGGUGGAGGCCACGCUGACAUUGCUGCUCCUCUGCCUGAGAGCAAAGCUCGGCGGUGCUUGGAACUGCCGGCUCAGACGGGCACCGAGUUGCCGCUCGGCUCCGGCUGCGCCAAGCAGCCACCCAGGGUCUUCCAGAUCGAAUUUGCUCUGUUUGCAAACCAGAAGAUGAUUUUCCUAAUGGCUGUAACUACAUUGCUCAUAUUCUGGCUGCACAGACUUGCUCCUGUAUAGCUGCAGUGCAUCUGGGAGGAGGGAAGGUCGGGGGCACUUGGAGGCCUCUUUCAACUCGGGUCCUCGUGGGAAUUGCCAGAAUCCAGUCUCACCUCUUGGAGGGAGGAAUCUUCCUCAUCCGAUCAUGCCCAGCGAUAGAGAUCGCUCAAGACGUUGCGCCGCAGGCAUCCUUCCCGACGGAGGUAGCAAAGUCCCAGAAUGAUCUGCGUGGGCUGUACAAAGCAAAACCGCUCAGGAAAUUCAAGGAUUUUGACCCGCUUCCUCGCAUCCUGCUCUGUAGUGCAGCAGCGGUGGCCGCGUCCUCAGCACGGUGGAAGGACGACGUGGUUUGUGUGAGCUGAGCAGAGGUGGUCCCGCGUCCCGCGCCAAG